AGGGAAAUAGCCCAGUGGUGGAGUGCAUGCUUAGCAUGCUUGAGAUCCUGGGCUCAAUCCCCAGUACCUCCA
This 72-nucleotide transfer RNA is filed under the name Camelus bactrianus (Bactrian camel). It matches the Rfam family "tRNA". Rfam says of the family: Transfer RNA (tRNA) molecules are approximately 80 nucleotides in length. The record is from Rfam by way of RNAcentral. Lineage: Eukaryota; Metazoa; Chordata; Mammalia; Artiodactyla; Camelidae. RNAcentral also lists the same sequence under 2 other names.